AACGAACGCUGGCGGCAUGCCUAACACAUGCAAGUCGAACGAGACCUUCGGGUCUAGUGGCGCACGGGUGCGUAACGCGUGGGAACCUGCCUUUAGGUUCGGAAUAACUCAGAGAAAUUUGAGCUAAUACCGGAUAAUGUCUUCGGACCAAAGAUUUAUCGCCUUUAGAUGGGCCCGCGUUGGAUUAGCUAGUUGGUGGGGUAAAGGCCUACCAAGGCGACGAUCCAUAGCUGGUCUGAGAGGAUGAUCAGCCACACUGGGACUGAGACACGGCCCAGACUCCUACGGGAGGCAGCAGUGGGGAAUAUUGGACAAU
RNAcentral lists this ribosomal RNA (316 nucleotides) under uncultured bacterium. RNAcentral's name for it is "bacterial SSU rRNA". It matches the Rfam family "Bacterial small subunit ribosomal RNA", at positions 29 to 372 of the family's 1533-position model. The record is from RNAcentral.